UGAACGCUGGCGGUAGGCCUAACACAUGCAAGUCGAACGGCAGCACAGUAAGAGCUUGCUCUUACGGGUGGCGAGUGGCGGACGGGUGAGGAAUACAUCGGAAUCUACUUUUUCGUGGGGGAUAACGUAGGGAAACUUACGCUAAUACCGCAUACGACCUACGGGUGAAAGCAGGGGAUCUUCGGACCUUGCGCGAUUGAAUGAGCCGAUGUCGGAUUAGCUAGUUGGCGGGGUAAAGGCCCACCAAGGCGACGAUCCGUAGCUGGUCUGAGAGGAUGAUCAGCCACACUGGAACUGAGACACGGUCCAGACUCCUACGGGAGGAAGCAGUGGGGAAUAUUGGACAAUGGGCGCAAGCCUGAUCCAGCCAUACCGCGUGGGUGAAGAAGGCCUUCGGGUUGUAAAGCCCUUUUGUUGGGAAAGAAAAGCAGCAGGUUAAUACCCCGCUGUUCUGACGGUACCCAAAGAAUAAGCACCGGCUAACUUCGUG
RNAcentral lists this ribosomal RNA (490 nucleotides) under uncultured bacterium. Its description in RNAcentral is "partial 16S ribosomal RNA". It matches the Rfam family "Bacterial small subunit ribosomal RNA", at positions 30 to 507 of the family's 1533-position model. The record is from RNAcentral.